ACGGGUGAGUAACGCGUGGGUAACCUGCCCUGUACACACGGAUAACAUACCGAAAGGUAUGCUAAUACGAGAUAAUAUACUUUUAUCGCAUGGUAGAAAUAUCAAAGCUUUUGCGGUACAGGAUGGACCCGCGUCUGAUUAGCUAGUUGGUAAGGUAACGGCUUACCAAGGCGACGAUCAGUAGCCGACCUGAGAGGGUGAUCGGCCACAUUGGAACUGAGACACGGUCCAAACUCCUACGGGAGGCAGCAGUGGGGAAUAUUGCACAAUGGGCGAAAGCCUGAUGCAGCAACGCCGCGUGAGCGAUGAAGGCCUUCGGGUCGUAAAGCUCUGUCCUCAAGGAAGAUAAUGACGGUACUUGAGGAGGAAGCCCCGGCUAACUACGUGCCAGCAGCCGCGGUAAUACGUAGGGGGCUAGCGUUAUCCGGAAUUACUGGGCGUAAAGGGUACGUAGGUGGUUUCUUAAGUCAGAGGUGAAAGGCUACGGCUCAACCGUAGUAAGCCUUUGAAACUGGGAAACUUGAGUGCAGGAGAGGAGAGUGGAAUUCCUAGUGUAGCGGUGAAAUGCGUAGAUAUUAGGAGGAACACCAGUUGCGA
RNAcentral lists this ribosomal RNA (597 nucleotides) under uncultured Clostridium sp. RNAcentral describes it as "bacterial SSU rRNA". It matches the Rfam family "Bacterial small subunit ribosomal RNA", at positions 102 to 718 of the family's 1533-position model. The record is from RNAcentral. Lineage: Bacteria; Bacillati; Bacillota; Clostridia; Eubacteriales; Clostridiaceae.